UGGCGGUAGAGUUUAGCAGUUCGUAUCAUGCUUUUGUAGGGAAUUGCGUUGCAUUGUCCGUCUAAUAUUGGCUUAGGAGGGCAAUCAUGGACUGCAAGGGAACUAGUUGGCUGAAAAAAGAGAAGAAUGAAGUAUAUGCUGAACCAGGCUCCUUGGUACAGUUACACACAUCGAUCAUGAAAGUAAAAGAAGAAUGGGAUGAGCAAUUGGACCAACAGUGUCUUGAAGAUAACUUAGGAACUUCUUGGCCAAAUGAUUUUAUCAAGGAGGAUCCUGAACUAAAUUUGGAGGUGGAUGAAACUGAGAAUACUGU
Schistocerca americana (American grasshopper) is the source of this 313-nucleotide long non-coding RNA. RefSeq lists it as uncharacterized. The record is from RefSeq and is a predicted model, not a curated record. NCBI's taxonomy places the organism in Eukaryota, Metazoa, Arthropoda, Insecta, Orthoptera, Acrididae. The transcript has 4 exons.